GCCGCUCCCCGGACGGCCGCAGUCGGGCGCAAGCCCGGUUGAGGAAAGUCCGGACACCAUAGGGCAACGCGCCUCGUGAAAACGGGGGACGGAAGCGUCAAGGCUUCCGGACGGAAAGUGCAGCAGAGAACAUACCGCCGAUGGCCCGCAAGGGAUCAGGUAAGGGUGAAACGGUGGGGUAAGAGCCCACCGCCCGAAGGGUAACCGACGGGGCACGGCAAACCCCGCGUGGUGCAAGACAGAACAGGGGAAGGGUAGCCCGCCCGCCAAUCUCCGGGUAUUAGUCGCAUCCCGCGCAAGCGGGGUCCUGCGAAAACAGGAAGAGAAAUGGCCGUCCAGUCCCUCCGGGGAUGGACAGAAUCCGGCUUACAGGGGGGCGGCACCU
Molecule: RNase P RNA, 385 nt
Filed under: Luteolibacter ambystomatis
Lineage: Bacteria; Pseudomonadati; Verrucomicrobiota; Verrucomicrobiia; Verrucomicrobiales; Verrucomicrobiaceae
Description: Bacterial RNase P class A
Rfam family: Bacterial RNase P class A
About the family: Ribonuclease P (RNase P) is a ubiquitous endoribonuclease, found in archaea, bacteria and eukarya as well as chloroplasts and mitochondria. Its best characterised activity is the generation of mature 5'-ends of tRNAs by cleaving the 5'-leader elements of precursor-tRNAs.
Source: Rfam by way of RNAcentral